RNAcentral lists this ribosomal RNA (274 nucleotides) under uncultured bacterium. RNAcentral describes it as "partial 16S ribosomal RNA". It matches the Rfam family "Bacterial small subunit ribosomal RNA", at positions 523 to 796 of the family's 1533-position model. The record is from RNAcentral.
AUACGGAGGUGGUUAGCGUUGUUCGGAAUUACUGGGCGUAAAGCGCACGUAGGCGGACUGGAAAGUUGGGGGUGAAAUCCCGGGGCUCAACCCCGGAACUGCCUCCAAAACUUCCAAUCUAGAGAUCGAGAGAGGUGAGUGGAAUUCCAAGUGUAGAGGUGAAAUUCGUAGAUAUUUGGCGGAACACCAGUGGCGAAGGCGGCUCACUGGCUCGAUACUGACGCUGAGGUGCGAAAGCGUGGGGAGCAAACAGGAUUAGAAUCCCUAGUAGUCC